This is a long non-coding RNA of Aethalodelphis obliquidens (Pacific white-sided dolphin), 2359 nucleotides long. RefSeq lists it as uncharacterized. The transcript is spliced from 4 exons. NCBI's taxonomy places the organism in Eukaryota, Metazoa, Chordata, Mammalia, Artiodactyla, Delphinidae. The record is from RefSeq and is a predicted model, not a curated record.
UUCAAAAGUAGUUCUAAACUUUCCUUGGAAUCUGCAAUACCAAAGUCACACAUGCAUAGUUAUUUUUUUCCUUUACCCAUCUACAUUUUACUUGGGGAUUGGGGUGGAACGUGGGGUAGGAGUGGGGCACAAUUGGAGGAUUCAUGAAAAUAAAUGAUCAGUUUCAUGCUCCUUUUUUUGAUUAUGUAUUAAUUAUGCCUCAUUUUCUUUGUGAUAGUAGGUACUUAUAUCAUUGCAUAGUUUGGUAAAUAUUAAUUUAUAAUGCUCAAAAUCCCCAGGAGAUUAAUUUCAAGUGAGCAUAAAAAUGAUGAAAGGUGAAUUUGAGAAAUCUAGGGAAAGAGUAGUGGUAAGCACAUUUAUGAUAGAGCUAGGACAACUGAAGACCAGGAUUUCCUUGGCCAUAGAAAUCUAAAAAGUUCUAAAGACCAUUUCAUUUGAGCCUGGUGGAUAUAUUGCCAGAAAAUCAGAUAUUUCUUUUCUCCUUAUCUGUGUCCUCUCCUUUCCUGGCCUGGGAGAUUAUUUUAGAUUUUCUGGGUGGGCUCUAAAUGCCAUCAUAUGUACCCUUAUAGGAGAGAGGGAGAGGGAGAUUUGACACACGGAGAAGAUGAUGUGAAGGCAGAAGCAGAGAUUGGAGGGUUGUAGCCAAAAGCCAAAGAAUGCUAACGAAUGAUGGCAGCCACCAGGAGCUAGAAGACUCAAGAAACAGAUUUCCCCCAAACCUCUGGAAGGAGCAUAAUCCUGCCCACACCUUGAUUUUGGACUUCUAGACUCUAGAACUGUGAGAGAGUAAAUUUGUGUUAUUUUAAGUCAUAAAGGUUGUGGUAAUUUUUUGUAGCAGCCACAGGAAAUUAACACAAUGGGUAAGUUCUGACUGUUUAGUAUAUAUUGAUUUGUCUUUUUUUAUAUAAGUGUAUAUACCAAAGUUACUCAUUCAUUCAUUCCUAUAUUCACCCAGUAACUGCAGUUCUUUUUUAGUGAUUGGUUGCAUGUGUUCGUGUAUAGUCAUGCUGACUUUGUCUUUUCAAUAUUUAAACAGACAGCAUGAUGCUAAGGUGACUUUUUGUACUUGCCUCAUUCUUUCCUACUCUUCAUGACUUCAGCCUUUUUAGCUUCUUUCUGUCCAAAAAAAAAAAAAAAGCUAUGAGUAAGUUAAUUACUUGAAGUAGUUUCAUCUAAUAGCACUGCUAUUUGCUGAUACAUGCAAGCACAAUUAUUACUCCACCUGGCCUGGCAGUAUGACAGACAUUUGAUGGAUGAAAGAUUUUACAAUGUAUUUUAUUCUUCUAAGCAUUGCGCAGGCCUUUACUAGGGUCAUAUGCAUGACAAAUAGACCAUAUGUUUUAAGGAAGUAGACAACUGAGGUUUAGAAAUCAGCAAGUUGAUCUACAGACAAGGAGCUGAAGCCUCUACUGCCGUUAACCUGUGUUCUAUUGGGGGAGCCAUACAAGAGAGUUUAAAAGCUAAAGCCAAGCCAGGAAGAGGAAGACAAGAUGAGAAACCCAAAAUCAAGCCUUGUCUUUCACGCUACCUGAGGAUGCUGCUCCCACCAUGGCAAAUUUGGUGUUUAAGUUCUUUAAGAGUGAUGACUUUAAAUUGUAAGCUAAACCUACUUAAGGUUUUCUUCAACAUACAGUCUUUGAGGAUGGCGUCUUUGCCAUUUGAUUUCUUGAAGAGCUUGCUUCCCUCUAAUGUGCUUUGCACAACGUGGCCUGUGCCCUUUCCACGCAUUUGCUUUGGUGGCUGUAUCUUCCCUCGGGUGAGUUGCUUGCUCUCACCUCAGUGGUGGCAGAUGCAUUUUAAGCCCCUUUUGUGAGAAGUUAUUUUUGUUAGGAGUUUGCAUUGUUCACAGUACUUUGACAUGUGAAGAAAAAGAAUACUAAACACAAAAAGAUGAAGCCAUUCUUGACCAUUACUUAAUGUACAAGAUUAAGGAUAUAUCUCUACUAACUAACUUUGUGAAUGUUUAAAUUGAUGUUUGUUGAAGUUCAUUUCACAUUUGUAUUAAUAAUAGUAGAUUAUUUUCUUCCCUUUUAAACUGGUUACCUUGGUUUUUAUUGGUCCUUAAUGUUGAUCUGUAUCUGGACAGGACUGACUAACCUCUUCCCAGGUAUUUCCAACUUCUAACAAUGUUUGGGUCAACUCUUGCACAUGACUCAUAUUGAUUAUACAUUCAUUGUAAUAUCUUCUCCAUUAGGUAAUAAAUUUCUUAAGGGUGACAUUAGUGUUUUCCUUCUCAGCUAUUCUAUAUACUUUCUAGUGCUUGGAGGGCUAGAUCUUCAAUGAGUAUUCAAUAUAUAAUUAAGACAUGUUUUUAAAACCAAGUCAGGAAAAGUGUUCUUAACCAUAGUCCUUUUAUUUG